RNAcentral lists this ribosomal RNA (594 nucleotides) under Oceanobacillus oncorhynchi subsp. incaldanensis. RNAcentral describes it as "bacterial SSU rRNA". It matches the Rfam family "Bacterial small subunit ribosomal RNA", at positions 73 to 650 of the family's 1533-position model. The record is from RNAcentral. Lineage: Bacteria; Bacillati; Bacillota; Bacilli; Caryophanales; Bacillaceae.
UUCGGAGGUGACGAUAAUGGAAUGAGCGGCGGACGGGUGAGUAACACGUAGGCAACCUGCCUGUAAGACUGGGAUAACUCGUGGAAACGCGAGCUAAUACCGGAUAACACUUUUCAUCUCCUGAUGAGAAGUUGAAAGGCGGCUUUUGCUGUCACUUACAGAUGGGCCUGCGGCGCAUUAGCUAGUUGGUAAGGUAACGGCUUACCAAGGCGACGAUGCGUAGCCGACCUGAGAGGGUGAUCGGCCACACUGGGACUGAGACACGGCCCAGACUCCUACGGGAGGCAGCAGUAGGGAAUCUUCCGCAAUGGACGAAAGUCUGACGGAGCAACGCCGCGUGAGUGAUGAAGGUUUUCGGAUCGUAAAACUCUGUUGUUAGGGAAGAACAAGUGCCAUAGUAACUGAUGGCACCUUGACGGUACCUAACCAGAAAGCCACGGCUAACUACGUGCCAGCAGCCGCGGUAAUACGUAGGUGGCAAGCGUUGUCCGGAAUUAUUGGGCGUAAAGCGCUCGCAGGCGGUUCUUUAAGUCUGAUGUGAAAUCUUACGGCUCAACCGUAAACGUGCAUUGGAAACUGGAGGACUUGAGUGCA